GAUGAACGCUAGCGGCAGGCUUAAUACAUGCAAGUCGAGGGGCAGCAGCUUUAUAGCAAUAUAGAGGCUGGCGGCCGGCAAACGGGUGCGGAACACGUACACAACCUUCCUUUAAGAGGGGGAUAGCCCAUAGAAAUGUGGAUUAAUACCCCGUAACAUAUCGGUGUGGCAUCACACUGUUAUUAUAGUUUCGACGCUUGAAGAUGGGUGUGCGGCUGAUUAGGUAGUUGGCGGGGUAAAGGCCCACCAAGCCUUCGAUCAGUAGCUGAUGUGAGAGCAUGAUCAGCCACACGGGCACUGAGACACGGGCCCGACUCCUACGGGAGGCAGCAGUAAGGAAUAUUGGUCAAUGGACGCAAGUCUGAACCAGCCAUGCCGCGUGAAGGAUGAAGGUCCUCUGGAUUGUAAACUUCUUUUAUAGGGGGCGAAAAAAGGGAAUUCUUUCUCACUUGACAGUACCCUAUGAAUAAGCACCGGCUAACUCCGUGCCAGCCGCCGCUGUAA
This 504-nucleotide ribosomal RNA is filed under the name uncultured bacterium. RNAcentral describes it as "partial 16S ribosomal RNA". It matches the Rfam family "Bacterial small subunit ribosomal RNA", at positions 28 to 523 of the family's 1533-position model. The record is from RNAcentral.